ACUUACAAUCUUUUGGUUGCGAAUGCCAUCUUUGCUUUUGACGGAGUUUAGCUGGAGAUCUUUGAAUAUGGAUGAGAUUGCGUUCACGUGGUGGAAGAAUUGGUAUUCGUGUCACAAAAUGAACAAUUCUCUUUUGUUCUUCUACUGAUUGCUCUGACUGUUUCUCUUCUAUAUCUGAUGAUUUCUUUAUAUUUCAAGUUUGCGGAGUUUGUUGCUACUUCUGACAUCACAGGUGAAUGUGAUCGAUCUGAAUGAUUAAUCUGUGUAAAGAUGCAAUUCUGAAUUGGGAAACGAGCACGGAGAGAAGGAGGACGGGCUGAUCUGUUGUUACCGCCAAUAUACGUCUAGUAUGAUUGCUUUACCAGUCUUUUGAAGCAGUAACUUUAUUUUGGAGGAGAGCGGAUGUUGUUGCCUCAAGCCAAUGCUUCUUGGGAUUUUUACCCACAAGGUAGUGACAUCACGCUUCUGCUGGUGGUAACAUUGUCGCUACCUGUAAUUCUCUAAAGCAAGGUAUGUGUAUUAUCUGUUAGAAAAUAAUAAACAAAAUUGGCUUUGAUGCGUGAAAAUUGACUGUCCUUAAAGAGUUAUCGCCUGUAUACUAAUUUAGGGAAAAUACAAAAUGAUUCUCUUCAAGAUACAACAAAGCUUGCAAUAACACUUGUGAUUUUCUAUACCAUUACGUUGGAAUU
Molecule: non-coding RNA, 689 nt
Organism: Nicotiana tabacum (common tobacco)
Lineage: Eukaryota; Viridiplantae; Streptophyta; Magnoliopsida; Solanales; Solanaceae
Source: RefSeq, a predicted model, not a curated record